CGCAGUGUCUCCCACCGUAGCAUUCCCAACGCUCGGCAGCUCCCGCUGAUUCCAUUAACCUCGGCAAUCCAUCUGCAGCUGACUUUAGGAUCUGGGGUUAUGAUUCUGGGGCUGACAGGAGAGAAAUAACUUAUUCUCUGCACCUCUCCCAAGGAACAGGUUAGGGUGCUGCCUGUUCUGGACUCAUUCAGAAUUUAAUGAAGACAUUUGGCCUCUUCCAAAGGACUUGACUUGAUCCUGAGUGCUGAGAAGGUGAUUAAUGAGACACAUAGAAUCAGUGUGGUGCACAAUUAAAGCAGAGUAUCCUUUCCCAUCAUCCUGCGAGAAAACACGAACUAGUUUCAGUGUUACUUAUA
Oxyura jamaicensis (ruddy duck) is the source of this 356-nucleotide long non-coding RNA. RefSeq lists it as uncharacterized. The record is from RefSeq and is a predicted model, not a curated record. The transcript has 2 exons. Lineage: Eukaryota; Metazoa; Chordata; Aves; Anseriformes; Anatidae.